UCCCGACUCGGCAGGCUGGUUCUGGUU
RNAcentral lists this small RNA (27 nucleotides) under Bombyx mori (domestic silkworm). RNAcentral describes it as "ovarian small RNA-27289". Lineage: Eukaryota; Metazoa; Arthropoda; Insecta; Lepidoptera; Bombycidae. The record is from RNAcentral.